This 1371-nucleotide long non-coding RNA is filed under the name Macaca mulatta (Rhesus monkey). RNAcentral describes it as "lncRNA (ENSMMUG00000061736.1)". Lineage: Eukaryota; Metazoa; Chordata; Mammalia; Primates; Cercopithecidae. The record is from RNAcentral.
CUGCUAGGUACUGCGAUCUCCUAGGUACUGAGACUUCCUCGGUGCUGAGGUCUCCUCAGUGCUGAGACCUCCUAGGUACUGAGGUCUCGUAGGCACUGAGGUCUCCUAGGUCCUGAGACCUCCUCGGUACUGAGGUCGCCUUGGUGCUGGGACCUCCUAGGUCCUGAGCCCUCCUAGGUACUGAGACCUCCUAGGCACUGCGAUCUCGUAGGUACUAAGACCUCGUCGGUACUGAGGUCGUCUCGGUGCUCAGACCUCCUAGGCACUGAGAUCUCCUAGGUACUGAGACCUUCUCGGUGCUGAGGUCGCCUCGGUGCUAACACCUCCUAGGUACUGAGGUCUCCUAGGCACUGAGAUCUCCUAGGUACUAAGACCUCCUCGGUGCUGAGGUUGGCUCAGUGCUGAGACCUCCUAGGUCCCGAGACCUUCUAGGUACUGAGACCUCCUCGGUGCUGAGGUCGCCUUGGUGCUGAGACCUCCGAGGUACUGAGACCUCGUUGAUACUGAGGUCGCCUCGGUGCUGAGACCUCCUAGGUACUGAGGUCUCGUAGGCACUGAGAUCUCCUAGGUACUGAGGUCUCGUAGGCACUGAGAUCUCCUAGGUACUGAGACCUCCUCGGUGCUGAGGUCGCCUCGGUGCUGAGACCUAGGUACUGAGGUCUCCUAGGCACGGAGAUCUCUUAGGUACUGAGACCUCGUUGAUACUGAGGUCUCCUCAGUGCUGAGACCUCCUAGGUACUGAGGUCUCCUAGGCACUGAGAUCUCCUAGGUACUGAGACCUCCUCGGUAUUGUGACCUCCUCGGUACUGAGGUCUCCUAGAUCCUGAGACCUUCUAGGUACUGAGACCUCCUCGGUGCUGAGGUCGCCUCGGUGUUGUGACCUCCUAGAUACUGAGGUCUCCUAGGCAAGGAGAUCUCUUAGGCACUGAGACCUCGUCGAUACUGAGGUCGCCUCGGUACUGAGACUUUCCAGGUACUGAGGUCUCCUAGGCACUGAGGCCUUCCCCUGUCGGAGGUGGGAAACUACUGGGAGGUAGAGCAGAACCAACACCUUCCCCUGAGGGUGGUGGGCUGAGCCGUGUCUUCCUUUCUAGGGGUCUUCUAUUCAUGCCAUCCAUGAGAGACCCCCGUACUCUUCUGACGCAUUCCCAUGUUGCUGAAGACUCAGUGUCGUCUUUGUUACUGUGACGUUGCGUGUUCGCGGUGUGCUGCAGUAUUCUGUUUUUCCAGCGUAUCCAAGGAGACGUGUAGUGCCUAAGAGUGUGAGUGCUACAAAAAGGGUGGUUUGUUCCAACCCAAGCUUGACCAUGACUGGUUCUCUCAUAUGGGUCAAGUUCCCUAAACUUCUCUGUGCCUCAGUUUCCUUGGCAG